UCCAGACUCCUACGGGAGGCAGCAGUGGGGGAUAUUGCACAAUGGGGGAAACCCUGAUGCAGCGACGCCGCGUGAGUGAAGAAGUAUUUCGGUAUGUAAAGCUCUAUCAGCAGGGAAGAAAAAAGACGGUACCUGACUAAGAAGCCCCGGCUAACUACGUGCCAGCAGCCGCGGUAAUACGUAGGGGGCAAGCGUUAUCCGGAUUUACUGGGUGUAAAGGGAGCGUAGACGGCAAUACAAGUCGGAAGUGAAAUACCCGGGCUUAACCUGGGAACUGCUUUGGAAACUGUAUGGCUGGAGUGCUGGAGAGGUAAGCGGAAUUCCUAGUGUAGCGGUGAAAUGCGUAGAUAUUAGGAGGAACACCAGUGGCGAAGGCGGCUUACUGGACAGUAACUGACGUUGAGGCUCGAAAGCGUGGGGAGCAAACAGGAUUAGAUACCCGAGUAC
This 447-nucleotide ribosomal RNA is filed under the name uncultured bacterium. RNAcentral's name for it is "bacterial SSU rRNA". It matches the Rfam family "Bacterial small subunit ribosomal RNA", at positions 330 to 793 of the family's 1533-position model. The record is from RNAcentral.